UUACGCCGGAGGGUCGUGGGACUGGGAGUACCUCGGCUUUGCAUCUCCUGAGGUAAAAAAAUCAGUAAAUGAGGCGAGGCGGUGACACUUAACGUGUCUCCGCUGCUUCCUAAACCGCCUGCUGUCGUUAACGCAUGGCCGCUGCAGCUGCUGACGUAGUUUACUUGUGUGUUAAGAUGGGAAGCCGUCAUUCCGUGCUGGGAGCCGGCGACCACCGAGACGGAGCGUCGCAGGUAAAGCACCGGCGAGCAAACGCAUGGCCUCGUUCCCGUCCCCCGCUGAAGACUAAAAGCUGCUCCGUAAGAACAACUGCAGGUUUUGUUUGAGGUGGUUGUGUAACCCGACGCCUCUCUGCAGGAUUACGCCGACAUCCAGUACCGCCGCAGACACAGACCGCGGCGCAGAGGAGACAUGCCGUGUCUGCGGCUCCGAAGCAGCAGCAACACGCCGGAGACGAGCAGGAGGAGCGAGAACUCAGAGGGCACGGAGAGGACUGAGGGUCGCAGGAGAGCGCUGGGCUUCCUGGAUGAAGACGAUCCCAACAUUCUCCUUGCCAUCCAGCUGUCGCUCCAGGAUUCCCGCCGGGCUCAGGCCCUGGAGGGGGGGCCGGAGAUGGACAGAGGUCAGGAGAGGAGGCCGGGUCCAGCGGGGGAUUUGGUCGACAUCGCUUUGCACUCUCUGAACACCGAGGAUCCUCCUGGAGCCAGAGGCUCGACCUUCCCCGCAUCCCUCCUGGAUCCUCCCCGUCCUCCCAACAGGACGGAUUCCACCUCGCAGCCAUUCGUCUCCAGCCCCAUCCCCAUCCCACCCCCGCCUCCCUCCCUCAGCGUGGAGCUGCUGGAGCUGGGAGACAGCCUUAUGAAACUGGGGAACAUGACCACUUCUCAGCACACGUACAGCCACGGCACGCUGACCGCCCCCUACAGCGACUGCAGCCAUAGACUGGAGCAGAACGCGCGGACUUCUCCGCACGUCACCGAUCCGUGUCACGACAGCAAAGAGCAGAGCUACUGCCACUCCUCUGCGUUUUCAGCCGAGGCUGAGCACACUGCCUCUUCUGCACUCGAACGAACCCAAAACGUGGCGCACCCCAGUUCCCAUGACUGGGAACCCACAGCUGGGUAUGACGGCCCCCCCAAACCAGACUGCUCCUACCACCCCUGCCCAGAGCGCAGCAGCUCCUACACUGCAGAGCGCCCCACCACCUACGCCCUGCAGAACACCCCCAGGUCCGAAGCCAAGCCCCCGGUCCAGUUGUGCCUCCCGUCUCCAGAGCUGGAGCCGGAGCUGCUGCUGUCCCCCGUUAUCCCACCGGGGGGCCCUUUCACCCCCAGCGACCCUCAGAGUCUGGAGACUCUGGACGCCACGGCGAGCGCUCAGCUGCUGGACAACAUCAUGGCCUGGUUCAACAACAACAUCAACCCCCAGAACCUGGCCCUCAUCCCCUCCCCACCCACCACAGAGACAGACUCCUCCCCCGACACGCACACAGAGACUGAAGCUGGGGGGAACGUGAGCCCCGCGCCAGUCUGGCAGCCCCUGGAGGGCGAGCCAGAAGCGGACCGGGCGGCGGCGCCGACUCCCCCACUGGGCGCGUCAAGCAUGGAGGACCCAGAGAGGUCCAGGCCCGGCGCGUCGGAGGCGGAGCACAGAGACGCUGCAGCGGAGGGUGUGGAUGCCGGGUGUGUGGCUGGCCUGUCGCUGGACGAAGCGUGCUCACACCCAUGUCCCACAGACAGAGACAUGGACACCGUCCUUCAUUUAGAGGAGGACAGGUCACCUGAGGAGUGGGAGGGGCAGGAACACCUAGUGUGA
This is a long non-coding RNA of Nothobranchius furzeri (turquoise killifish), 1815 nucleotides long. The record is from Ensembl. Lineage: Eukaryota; Metazoa; Chordata; Actinopteri; Cyprinodontiformes; Nothobranchiidae.